UGGACGGGGGGUAGGGGGGUGGGGCUAGCAUGUCUGGCACAUAAACAAAUUCAUGGCCAUGAAAAAUGCCUCACAGACCGUGGAAUCUGGUGUGGUCUCCCCUGUACAGUAUAAGGUCUUCCUCCCUGCGUCAUUGUAGGUGGAUGUGAGCUGAAGAAUCAGGACAGCGGAUGGCAGCCAUCCUCGCAUGCAAGCAUGGCUGUAUUAUGAACCAAAGAAAAGAUGGCCUGCUGUGCAGUGCAGAAAUAGGAAAACUUCUCUAGCCCUGGCCAAAUGCGACUCUACCCUUGUUUGAAAGGAUUUAAAUCAAAGAACUCCAAAGCUGACAGAGCUACACAAGCAGUACACUUGGGUUCCUUUGUGGGCUUGGGGACUGAGAAGACAGACAGACUGACUUCCUUUGUCCUCCAGUGACUCCCUCUCUGCACAGAGUUGAUAGGAUCCAAAGAGAUACAUGUCCAUCAAAGGUAAGCUUUAUACCUUCCUGGCAGUCCUGCGCUAUAAACAACACCAACCCUCUCUUCCCCCAACCUCAAGUCAGAGCAGCCUUCCCAGAUCCUAAAUGAGACUAGGAUUUGCAAAGCAAGGUUAGGAAGCUCACUUAGUUCCUUCACAAAUAUUGACCAGCUAUAUCAUCUGCCCUUUUGAAGAGAGCCAGCAGUUCUUGAGAAUGGAAGAGAAGAGAAUGGAAAAACUACUGCUGUUCUGGACAAGUCUCAAAUUUUCUUUACAUGCUUAGACACUAUACUGACAGGCUCAUUUUUAAGUGGUUACUGUUGUGCUACUUUACACUAUGAGAAAGAGGAGAGCAUACACCUCAGGCAACUGCUCUAUGUACACCCUACACCUCACUGAUAUUAGUCAUCUCCACAAUCAGACUAGCCCUUCAGGACUUUCUCCAAGAGGAAACUAUUCUUCAUUAGAAAAAUUUCUCACCUUUUUCAAAUUCUUUAUUUUUUUGUCUACCUCAGGGUCUCCAGAUGUCACAGAAGGCAGAGUGCUGUGUGAUACAUUCUGUAAUGCUGGAGAUGGUGUUGAUUCCUGGUUCCCAUCAGUUUUGGCCUCCUGUAAGUUAAUAAACUUCAUCUACUGUUCCUGUAAACCAUUUAAACAACAGCUCUGUUGUUUUAUAACAUGGAAACCUAGAAAAGCUGUUGAAUAUUUCUCCCUUUCAUUAGUCCUCUGGUGCUCUCUAUUGUUUGUAAACAGUUUUCAGUUACAUGUUAUAUUAUUUGAGACCGAGAUCCUAUCAGAAAAUGUUAGCUAUAAUAUUAGAGUUCCGAUAUACUGUGUCUUCUUUCUUCCCACCGAGAGAGACAAGAAACAUGCUUAGUAUAAUGAAAUUGGUAGGAAUGAAACUACAAAUAUACAUCCACAAACAUUUCUUAUAAGAGCUGGUGGUCCAUCCUCCCCACUACCAGAAAAACCAAAAUCAGGUCUAAUUUAUGAAGCAAAAGUAUUAUACACUUUAGAAGGGUUUUAGUAAUUGUGGAAGUUAUAGAGCUAACAUCCAAAGCUGAAAUCUGCCAUCUAGCCAUAGAACAGAUACAGUACACGUAGCUGCAAAAGCACAAGCUUAUUUGCUCUGCCCUGCUAUCAUGCCUCCACCCUGACCUAUAGGAAGACCACAUUUAAAGGGUGAGACAAUAUUUUGGUUUUCAAAACCAUUCAGUCUUUUGCCUCUCACCUGAGACUGCGAAGAGUUAAGCAGAAUCUUAGGGACUGGAAGGAUGAAGCGUGUGAUGUUUAUGUGAACAGAACUGACGCUUCCAAUUCAUUUCACUUCACACAGACUAAUGAACAACCAACCGACGGUAACAACUGUCGGUUACUAUCAACCUGGGCCAAUUUCAAGUGAAUGACUUAAAAGGUGUAUCACAUGUGCCAUCCAGUCCCCUGAAAUUUCGCACACAUGGCCAUGAAUAGAUAUUACUUUUAGUGCAAUCCAAAGUUUGUUACUGCAGGACUAGUCAACACAUUUGCAAAAGCUAAUGUAACGUUAUCCUUAAGAGGGCUGAUGCUAGCAGUACCUGUUUAGCAGCUUUCUUUGCUUCGUGCUUCCUUUGAUUUUUAAGCGCCAUCUUUGAUAAUGGCUUAUCACUAUUUCCUGGUUGUGGUUUCAUGUUCUGAGGUGGCUCCUCCUCAUGCUAAGGGACACAUAAGAUUGACAUUUCUGAAAUGCAUGUGCCAUACUUCAAAAUAUCCUACAAAAGAAUGAAAACUCUAGAAAAACUUUUCUACGUGUUAAAGUACCACAGUUUAAAAGGUGACCUGCAAAGGACAAAAAAAUGGGUUUAUGCCCUUUCUGCUUCUUUUGAUGGUUGAAGGCACCCUGAAAAAAGUGUCACCCCCUAAAAAGAUUUUCCUUUGUUUUUUACACUAGCCUUUUAGGACUUGUCUGUCCUGUCUCUCCUAGAGGCAUCUAUAGAUGGCUGGAAAAGUACUAAAGCAAAUACUAGGAAUAUAAAACCUGAACAACUGAGUGGGAAGGUGAUUUUUAGUCAGACUGUUUAAAACUUUGCUUUUUAUUUACACCUAUUUAACUCAAAUGCCUGACAGACAGUUGGAAGCAAAGCACUUUGUUAACAAUUUUACAGUCCUGCCCUUCCAGGUAAGGGCUAAGAAAGCUCCCCCACCAUUUCUUUAGUCCUUCAAGCAAAAACAGGACAGGCAGAACUUGAUUUUCUUUUUACAUCUUAAAGAAGCAAAGAUAGGAAGCUUUUUUCCCCCUUGCUGUUCAUCUUAAGAAAACCCAAAACCAAACCAGGAAUAUACUCUGUUAUUUUCUGAAAAACUAGUUUUAGCAGAUCAGACAUAUUAAAUGCUCAAAUGGGUUUAAAUGUUUUCCACCCACAACUCUGAUUUUUCCUCCAUACAAGCUGGCAGAAUGUAGUUCCCUGAAUUCUGUUACAGGUUGAAUCUUUCUUGCUAACUCUGCUUAUGUAGCACCUGUGAAGUCAGGCCCUAGUAAUAACUAACUGCUGAUAGCCUGUGGCCUGAGGCUUCUAUCUUCCAAGCCUCCUUGGAAGAUAGAAGCCUCAAAAUCAAAGCCUUCUAAAAUAAAAUAAAAAAUAAAAAUAAAAAUAA
This is a long non-coding RNA of Chelonia mydas (Green sea turtle), 3087 nucleotides long. RefSeq lists it as uncharacterized. The record is from RefSeq and is a predicted model, not a curated record. Lineage: Eukaryota; Metazoa; Chordata; Testudines; Cheloniidae. The transcript is spliced from 3 exons.